UUUACCCCAACACAGCUCAUUUGGUAGACCGUGAGACUCUUAAUCUCAGGGUUGUGGGUUUGAACCCCACACUGGGCAAAG
Molecule: non-coding RNA, 81 nt
Organism: Podarcis lilfordi (Lilford's wall lizard)
Lineage: Eukaryota; Metazoa; Chordata; Lepidosauria; Squamata; Lacertidae
Source: the annotation of a GenBank genome assembly